This 330-nucleotide ribosomal RNA is filed under the name uncultured eukaryote. Its description in RNAcentral is "partial 18S ribosomal RNA". It matches the Rfam family "Eukaryotic small subunit ribosomal RNA", at positions 1470 to 1796 of the family's 1831-position model. The record is from RNAcentral.
CCCUUAGAUGUUCGGGGCCGCACGCGCGCUACACUGAAGGAAUCAGCACGUCUUUCUCCUUGUCCGAAAGGACUGGGUAACCCGCUGAACCUCCUUCGUGCUAGGGAUUGGGGCUUGUAAUUCUUCCCCAUGAACGAGGAAUUCCCAGUAAGCGCGAGUCAUAAGCUCGCGUUGAUUACGUCCCUGCCCUUUGUACACACCGCCCGUCGCUACUACCGAUUGGAUGGUUUAGUGAGAUCCUCGGAUUGGUCCCGGCGCGGCCUCUGGUCGUGCCGGAGUACCGAAAAGAAUGUCGAACUUGAUCAUCUAGAGGAAGUAAAAGUCGUAACA